CAGCCGUAAACUAUGCUCGCUAGGUGUCAGGCAUGGCGCGACCGUGUCUGGUGCCGCAGGGAAGCCGUGAAGCGAGCCACCUGGGAAGUACGGCCGCAAGGCUGAACUUAAAGGAAUUGGCGGGGGAGCACCACAACGGGUGGAGCCUGCGGUUUAAUUGGACUCAACGCCGGGAAGCUCACCGGAUAAGACAGCGGAAUGAUUGCCGGGCUGAAGACUCUGCAUGACUAGCUGAGAGGAGGUGCAUGGCGUAGACGUCU
This 260-nucleotide ribosomal RNA is filed under the name uncultured archaeon. RNAcentral's name for it is "partial 16S ribosomal RNA". It matches the Rfam family "Archaeal small subunit ribosomal RNA", at positions 748 to 1009 of the family's 1478-position model. The record is from RNAcentral.